UUGUAACAAAGACGUGGGAGGUGCCCAAAGGCUGUCGCCGACUUGAAAGGGUCGUGCACGCCCAAAAGGUUUCCUCUCACGUGAAAUCCAUCUCACCCUUUUGUGCAUCACCGCGUGGGCUUCCCUCCUCGAGGGGGGCUCGCGUUUUUCACACAAACCCCCCAUUGUAAAUGUUUGUAGAAUGUCCUUAUUUUUUUUGCGUUGACACGCGAUCAAUA
RNAcentral lists this unclassified non-coding RNA (218 nucleotides) under uncultured Lactarius. Its description in RNAcentral is "sequence contains ITS1". Lineage: Eukaryota; Fungi; Basidiomycota; Agaricomycetes; Russulales; Russulaceae. The record is from RNAcentral.